UACGGGGGGAGCUAGCGUUGUUCGGAAUUACUGGGCGUAAAGCGCGCGUAGGCGGCUUUGUAAGUUAGAGGUGAAAGCCCGGGGCUCAACCCCGGAACAGCCUUUAAGACUGCAUCGCUAGAAUCCGGGAGAGGUGAGUGGAAUUCCGAGUGUAGAGGUGAAAUUCGUAGAUAUUCGGAAGAACACCAGUGGCGAAGGCGGCUCACUGGACCGGUAUUGACGCUGAGGUGCGAAAGCGUGGGGAGCAAACAGG
Molecule: ribosomal RNA, 253 nt
Filed under: uncultured bacterium
Lineage: Bacteria
Description: partial 16S ribosomal RNA
Rfam family: Bacterial small subunit ribosomal RNA
Source: RNAcentral